GGGCCCGUAGCUCAGCAUGGUAGAGCAGCUGGCUCUUAACCAGUUGGUCGAGGGUUCAAAUCCCUCCGGGCCCA
RNAcentral lists this transfer RNA (74 nucleotides) under Candidatus Aenigmatarchaeota archaeon. RNAcentral's name for it is "tRNA-Lys". It matches the Rfam family "tRNA". Rfam says of the family: Transfer RNA (tRNA) molecules are approximately 80 nucleotides in length. The record is from RNAcentral. Lineage: Archaea; Nanobdellati; Candidatus Aenigmatarchaeota.